RNAcentral lists this ribosomal RNA (497 nucleotides) under uncultured bacterium. RNAcentral's name for it is "partial 16S ribosomal RNA". It matches the Rfam family "Bacterial small subunit ribosomal RNA", at positions 28 to 507 of the family's 1533-position model. The record is from RNAcentral.
GAUGAACGCUGGCGGCGUGCCUAAUACAUGCAAGUCGAGCGAACAGAUGAGGAGCUUGCUCCUCUGACGUUAGCGGCGGACGGGUGAGUAACACGUGGAUAACCUACCUAUAAGACUGGGAUAACUUCGGGAAACCGGAGCUAAUACCGGAUAAUAUAUUGAACCGCAUGGUUCAAUAGUGAAAGACGGUUUUGCUGUCACUUAUAGAUGGAUCCGCGCCGCAUUAGCUAGUUGGUAAGGUAACGGCUUACCAAGGCAACGAUGCGUAGCCGACCUGAGAGGGGGAUCGGCCACACUGGAACUGGGACACGGUCCAGACUCCUACGGGAGGCAGCAGUAGGGAAUCUUCCGCAAUGGGCGAAAGCCUGACGGAGCAACGCCGCGUGAGUGAUGAAGGUCUUCGGAUCGUAAAACUCUGUUAUUAGGGAAGAACAAAUGUGUAAGUAACUAUGCACGUCUUGACGGUACCUAAUCAGAAAGCCACGGCUAACUACGUG